Molecule: ribosomal RNA, 450 nt
Filed under: uncultured Glomeromycotina
Lineage: Eukaryota; Fungi; Glomeromycota
Description: SSU rRNA
Rfam family: Eukaryotic small subunit ribosomal RNA
Source: RNAcentral
AGCAGCCGCGGUAAUUCCAGCUCCAAUAGCGUAUAUUAAAGUUGUUGCAGUUAAAAAGCUCGUAGUUGAAUUUCGGGACCAAUUUGUUGGUCGUGCCUCGGUACGUACUGGUAUUAUUGGUUUCUCCCUUCUGAAGAACCUCGAUGCCAUUAAUUUGGUGUCGUGGGGAAUCAGGACUGUUACUUUGAAAAAAUUAGAGUGUUUAAAGCAAGCAUACGCUUGAAUACAUUAGCAUGGAAUAAUGAAAUAGGACGUUUGAUUCUAUUUUGUGGUUUCUAGGAUCGACGUAAUGAUUAAUAGGGAUAGUUGGGGGCAUUAGUAUUCAAUUGUCAGAGGUGAAAUUCUUGGAUUUAUUGAAGACUAACUACUGCGAAAGCAUUUGCCAAGGAUGUUUUCAUUAAUCAAGAACGAAAGUUAGGGAUCGAAGACGAUCAGAUACCGUCGUAGUCU